CUCGGACGGACGUCAUGUAUGUUCCAGUUGCUGCCCAGUCAUAAGUGGAGAAUGUGGGGAGAGGGAAGAAUGCCGCAGGAACUCAUCAGACCAAGCAGCAUCUAUGGAUGGAGGAACUGCAGAGGGCUCUGGCUCAUCCAGAAGUGUGUUGACACGUUCGUGGUCAUGUGACUGAAGUGACAAGGCUCCUGCACUCCAUGACAUGAUGCAGCUGUGUGUGACUGUCUUACUGGACAUUAAGUUGGUUUAGAUCGAAUGCUGAUCGUUCACGCACCAGGAGUGACCAUUUAUUCGCACUACCUAACUUCAAGCUGCAUUACACAGGCUCC
Hypanus sabinus (Atlantic stingray) is the source of this 329-nucleotide long non-coding RNA. RefSeq lists it as uncharacterized. The record is from RefSeq and is a predicted model, not a curated record. The transcript is spliced from 3 exons. NCBI's taxonomy places the organism in Eukaryota, Metazoa, Chordata, Chondrichthyes, Myliobatiformes, Dasyatidae.